Molecule: ribosomal RNA, 383 nt
Filed under: uncultured eukaryote
Lineage: Eukaryota
Description: SSU rRNA
Rfam family: Eukaryotic small subunit ribosomal RNA
Source: RNAcentral
AGCUCCAAUAGCGUAUACUAAAGUUGUUGCAGUUAAAAAGCUCGUAGUUGGAUUUCUGUCUGAGAUGAACGGUCGGAACGUAAGUUCUUUGCACUUGUUAAUCAUUUUGGACUUCCUUGGUAUUAAUCUAUAUGGUAUUUAUUUAUCGUGUAGGGGAGUAUCAUCAUUUACUGUGAGCAAAAUAGAGUGUUCAAAGCAGGCUUAGGCCCGAAUACAUUAGCAUGGAAUAAUAAGAUAGGACUUUGGUCUAUUUUGUUGGUUUACAUUCCAAAGUAAUGAUUAAUAGGGAUAGUUGGGGGUAUUCGUAUUCAAUUGUCAGAGGUGAAAUUCUUGGAUUUAAUGAAGACGAACUACUGCGAAAGCAUUUACCAAGGAUGUUUUCA